This 327-nucleotide ribosomal RNA is filed under the name uncultured eukaryote. RNAcentral describes it as "partial 18S ribosomal RNA". It matches the Rfam family "Eukaryotic small subunit ribosomal RNA", at positions 1470 to 1796 of the family's 1831-position model. The record is from RNAcentral.
CCCUUAGAUGUUCUGGGCCGCACGCGCGCUACACUGACGAAUGCAACGAGCUUAUAACCUUGGCCGAAAGGUCUGGGUAAUCUCCAAAUUUCGUCGUGAUGGGGAUAGAUUAUUGCAAUUAUUAAUCUUCAACGAGGAAUGCCUAGUAAGCGCAAGUCGUCAGCUUGCGUUGAUUACGUCCCUGCCCUUUGUACACACCGCCCGUCGCUCCUACCGAUUGAAUGGUCCGGUGAAGCGUUCGGACCGUGGCCUUUGGACGGUUCGCCGUCUGUUGGCUGCGGGAAGUUCGUUAAACCUUAUCAUUUAGAGGAAGGAGAANUCGUANCA